ACGGGGACUAGCCCUUAAGUUGAUUUGAGUGUAGUGGAAGGCUCUGGAAAGUGCCGCCGUAGUGGGUGAUAGCCCCGUACACGAAACGCUCUUAUCAAUGAAAUCGAGUAGGACGGGGCACGAGAAACCUUGUCUGAACAUGGGGGGACCAUCCUCCAAGGCUAAAUACUACUGACUGACCGAUAGUGAACCAGUACCGUGAGGGAAAGGCGAAAAGAACCCCGGAGA
This 228-nucleotide ribosomal RNA is filed under the name Xanthomonas oryzae pv. oryzae. RNAcentral's name for it is "partial 23S ribosomal RNA". It matches the Rfam family "Bacterial large subunit ribosomal RNA", at positions 292 to 532 of the family's 2925-position model. Lineage: Bacteria; Pseudomonadati; Pseudomonadota; Gammaproteobacteria; Lysobacterales; Lysobacteraceae. The record is from RNAcentral.